UAUCUGCUCCCAUCACUUUAUCCCACUGCCCCCUUCUCUCUCCCAAUGUCGAUCAAAUUAACCUACUUCCCCACUACUUUGCCCGCCAUUUUCUCUCACUACUUUGUUCGCCAUUUUCUAUCACUGGCUGCACAUAAUUUUCUCAAACCUAGCGUUGCCAUCUCCAUCAACAGCCGGCUGCCUUUGCCAUCUCCAUCAACAAUCGGCUGCCCUACCACCGGAAGAUUUCCUGUCUUGCUCCUUCAAAAAUUGACUUCUCCUUAGAGAGAUAUAGAAAGAGAAGAGAACUCGAACUACCUAUAAAUCACUGCAUAAAGCCCUAAAAUCUCUGGUCGAGUAAGGAAAGGCUUUUAACCAAUGCCGACUUAGUUUUGUUAGUGUUGACUAGUGGAAUCAUUGGAAUUGAUGGUGCUAAAACUUCAAAAGAGCCAAGAUAGAAUUCUGAUUCUUCAAUCACUACACCUAUCGGGCUGUGUGUAGAAAGAAAGUGAAUUUCUACUUCUAUAUUUUUUAUUUUGUGAUAAAAAGAAGCAUAGAAGGAUUCCCAAGUGUGUGUUACAUCUGGAAAUCAUUAUGGAGGAGUUACUUGCAGCUGAUAUCAAUAACAAUGGUUUUAUCAUGGCGGAACAAGGGAAUGCUUUGAUGCCUAAUGUCCUAAGAAAGGUUUUGCUCUAUGAAAGUGGUAGCAUAAUCCUAAUGGGGUUGGUUUCACAACUUAUUCAUAAUGGUGGUCAUCAUGUUACGGCAAGAUCGAAGACUUGUAUUAAGGCAUGGGAGUUUGAUUUAUUUUUGUCGGUUUGAAUUUGUAUUGCACAAUUGGGGAGUUACUUUCAUUUUGUAAUGAACUCAAAUACUGUAAUGUAAUUUUUUGAUGAAAUUUGAUAUUUUAUUCAAAUGUGUCAA
Cornus florida is the source of this 903-nucleotide long non-coding RNA. RefSeq lists it as uncharacterized. The record is from RefSeq and is a predicted model, not a curated record. The transcript is spliced from 5 exons. NCBI's taxonomy places the organism in Eukaryota, Viridiplantae, Streptophyta, Magnoliopsida, Cornales, Cornaceae.